This 310-nucleotide long non-coding RNA is filed under the name Mytilus galloprovincialis (Mediterranean mussel). Lineage: Eukaryota; Metazoa; Mollusca; Bivalvia; Mytilida; Mytilidae. The record is from RNAcentral.
GUGUAUAAAUCACGGGGGGGUCUCAACAUUGGAUUUUGGGUACAGGUGUGCAGCUGGGAUUUUAAAAACACCCCCCAUUCAUAUAUUGAAUAAUUGUGAAAUCCCUACCUAUACAUAUAUUUCACAGCGAAAUCAUAACCCAUUCAUAUAUUUAUCAGCUCAAAUAGUACCUCCAAUCGGUCAAUUACUACCUAUUGAUAUAUUUCCUCGGUAAAAUUGCACCCCAUUGAUAUAUUUGACGGAUCAAAAAAGGGACCUAUUCCAGCGGCACAUAUGUAUAUACCUUUAUAUAGGAAGAGACCCCCCCGUG